RNAcentral lists this long non-coding RNA (1000 nucleotides) under Anas zonorhyncha (Eastern spot-billed duck). RNAcentral's name for it is "lncRNA (ENSAZOG00000015926.1)". Lineage: Eukaryota; Metazoa; Chordata; Aves; Anseriformes; Anatidae. The record is from RNAcentral.
AACCAAGUUAGGUUGUGGAUAUCGUGGUUUAGAAAUGAUGGAUGGAAGCAAUGUGGUGGCUGCCGUAUGCUACAGAUCAGUCCAAAGCCCUGUAACAUUUGGAUGCUGUGCCCACGUGUAUGUGAAUUCAGGCGUUAGACCACCUUAUUCAGGGUGUGCUUUGAUCCUGGUUCUGUUACUGAGCUUAGGUUGCAUGCUGUACCCACAAACUCUGGUGGUCUCACUGAAAGGCAGAGUUUUAAGUUCUGUCCUGUAAAGCUUUAUCCAUUCUCCCGGGAUAGUACUUGGAAAAGAUGUUCUUCUUCAUGCAAUUUUGGGACACUGCCUGAAUGGCAUCCCUACAGCCAGGGGCUGCAGUAGUGGGAAGAAUUGGGUGGUGAAGCUCUGUUCCAGCAGGUUUCAAAGCCAGAAGCUCUGCGUAGACUGCUCAGUGCACUGCUUGAGCCCUGCUUGGGGAGCACCAAACCCAGCUCUGCUACACACCAGUGUGAGACCGGCAGCUGAAAGAAUAUGGGAUGCAACUGGAGUUCUGCAUGUGCCAACCUUCUAAAAUCCUGUAGGUUCUACAGGCUUCUACCAGUUCCACACAUAACAUUGUGAAAGGUUCCUCCAAGACCAGCCACAGCUCCCGUGUCUUCACUUCCUUAUGGGAAAGAACAAGGGUGUACCUUGCUUUUUGUGGCCUUUUCUGUCGGAUGAGGUUCUUGAGCUGAUAAUGCAGGAAACUGUCAGAUGUUGGGAAACCAGGUCACCCAGCAGUUUCAAGUGGACGUUUGUACACUUCUGCAAGAGAAAAUACAUCUCUGAGCAGACAUACUUCAGGGGAGGUUCUCAGAUCACAAGUAGUGGAGCAGAUGCGCUGAGAAGAGGCACUUUCAGUGGUGUGUGCGGCAGAUUCAGCAGAUCCAGCCUCCUAUUUCCUGUUCUUCCAGUAUCAUCUGUUACUCAUGACGGCAUUUUGUAUAUUGUCCUUACACAACUGGCAGAGAGGUCAAAGUAA